GAGUUUGAUCCUGGCUCAGGUUAAACGCUGGCGGCGUGCCUAAAACAUGCAAGUCGAACGCGGGGCUUCGGCUCCGAGUGGCGGACGGCUGAGUAACGCGUGGGUGACCUGACCUCGAGUGGGGAAUAACUGCCCGAAAGGGUGGCUAAGACCGCAUGAGCUCACCGGACCGAUCUGGUGAGGAAAGCCCGAGAGGGUGCUGGAGGAGGGGCCCGCGUCCGAUUAGCUGGUUGGUGGGGUAACGGCCUACCAAGGCGACGAUCGGUAGCUGGUCUGAGAGGAUGAUCAGCCAGACUGGGACUGAGAGACGGCCCAGACUCCUACGGGAGGCAGCAGUUAGGAAUUUUGGGCAAUGGGCGAAAGCCUGACCCAGCAACGCCGCGU
Molecule: ribosomal RNA, 384 nt
Filed under: uncultured Alphaproteobacteria bacterium
Lineage: Bacteria; Pseudomonadati; Pseudomonadota; Alphaproteobacteria
Description: bacterial SSU rRNA
Rfam family: Bacterial small subunit ribosomal RNA
Source: RNAcentral